GAUGAAGAACGGAGCGAAAUGCGAUAAGUAGUGUGAAUUGCAGAAUUCAGUGAAUCAUCGAAUCUUUGAACGCACAUUGCGCCUCCUGGCAUUCCGGGAGGCAUGCCUGUUCGAGCGUCAUCAAACCCCAUCGUGCAAAUGAGUUAUUUUUUUUGCGCGGAAGUGACGAUUGAGCGAGAAUAACAAAUCCUCUCGCACCUCGUCGAAAUGAUUGCGGGCGGAAUUUGGGAUCGGGUUCCUCGGCGUAGUGUAUCAAUGCAUAUUUAUGCAACCUGCCGCGGAGUUGAGCCUGACCCACGCGUUCUCGCCGUACAAACACCUCAUUACUUUACAAGUUUUUGACCUCGGAUCAGGUAGGGAUACCCGCUGAACUUAAGCAUAUCAAUAAGCGGAGGA
RNAcentral lists this unclassified non-coding RNA (396 nucleotides) under soil metagenome. Its description in RNAcentral is "partial contains 5.8S ribosomal RNA, internal transcribed spacer 2, and large subunit ribosomal RNA". The stretch from base 1 to 120 matches the Rfam family "5.8S ribosomal RNA", at positions 35 to 154 of the family's 154-position model. The record is from RNAcentral.